This 549-nucleotide long non-coding RNA is filed under the name Citrus sinensis (sweet orange). RNAcentral describes it as "long non-coding RNA (CSIN_LNC004044)". Lineage: Eukaryota; Viridiplantae; Streptophyta; Magnoliopsida; Sapindales; Rutaceae. The record is from RNAcentral.
AGGGGGGAAAAAAAAAAUACCGAAAGUACAUUUGCUAUCGGAAAAAUGGCUGAAGGUCUCGUUCUCAAAGGAACCAUGCGCGCCCACACCGACAUGGUAACGGCGAUCGCCACCCCAAUCGACAACUCUGACAUGAUCGUGACGGCCUCGCGUGACAAGUCCAUCAUUGUCUGGCACCUCACUAAGGAGGAAAAGACCUACGGCGUUGCGCGCCGUCGUUUGACCGGCCACUCUCACUUCGUGCAGGACGUCGUCCUCUCCUCGGACGGCCAGUUCGCUCUCUCCGGCUCCUGGGACGGCGAGCUCCGCCUCUGGGAUUUGGCCGAGGGCAAAUCCGCCCGCAGGUUCGUCGGCCACACUAAGGACGUUCUCUCCGUCGCCUUCUCGAUCGACAACCGUCAGAUUGUAUCGGCCUCUCGUGACCGUACGAUCAAGUUGUGGAACACGCUCGGCGAGUGCAAGUACACGAUUCAAGAGGGAGACGCUCACACUGAGUGGGUUUCUUGUGUUAGGUUCAGCCCCAACACGCUUCAGCCCACUAUCGUUUCC